This is a small nucleolar RNA of Amazona collaria (yellow-billed parrot), 139 nucleotides long. The record is from Ensembl. NCBI's taxonomy places the organism in Eukaryota, Metazoa, Chordata, Aves, Psittaciformes, Psittacidae.
AGCACUAUUUUUAAACCUGUUGGUGGAAUUUUCUGACCACCAUGGGUUACGCUGUAGUGCAAAAGAAUCUCCUGGCUCUUCACAGCACAGCUGACCUUGCUCUGUUCAGCUCGUGCUCCUCUAAAGCUAAGGAACAGAA